UUUUGGUCAUGUCGUCUGCAUCGGAGGAGUAUUGGAGUCUUUUCCUGUGAUUGCCGUCGUAACAACAGGAGAUUUCUCCAAGCAAAAACAGGAUCCUGAAUAUGAGGCAGAAUCAUCAUACAGCCAGCUGUCCGUUUUACAGAAAUGCAGAAUUAGGUUCAUUCAGAUCUUUGUGGCACCAAAUGCAUUGAAAGUCACAGGUCAGCUGGCAUUCUGGAAAGAGGGUCUGCCUGAAUCCCAUCCUGCUGUUUCUCAUCGGAGAGCUUGUCAACUUUGACUGUCAAAAUUACUGAAAUUUAACACAACAACACAAACUCAUUUUUACUGUAUUAUUUGAUUUUUAUUUACACUACCAGUCAAAAGUUUUUGAACAGUAAGAUUUGUAAUGUUUUUAAAGAAGACUCUUCUGCUCACCAAGCCUGCAUUUAUUUGAUCCAAAGUACAGCAAAAACAGUACAAUUUUGA
Long non-coding RNA from Onychostoma macrolepis, 465 nucleotides. RefSeq lists it as uncharacterized. The transcript is spliced from 3 exons. Lineage: Eukaryota; Metazoa; Chordata; Actinopteri; Cypriniformes; Cyprinidae. The record is from RefSeq and is a predicted model, not a curated record.